GGAGAGGUGGCAGAGUGGUCGAAUGCGGCGGUCUUGAAAACCGUUGUACCGCAAGGUACCGGGGGUUCGAAUCCCUCCCUCUCCG
Molecule: transfer RNA, 85 nt
Filed under: Flavobacteriales bacterium
Lineage: Bacteria; Pseudomonadati; Bacteroidota; Flavobacteriia; Flavobacteriales
Description: tRNA-Ser
Rfam family: tRNA
About the family: Transfer RNA (tRNA) molecules are approximately 80 nucleotides in length. Their secondary structure includes four short double-helical elements and three loops (D, anti-codon, and T loops). Further hydrogen bonds mediate the characteristic L-shaped molecular structure. tRNAs have two regions of fundamental functional importance: the anti-codon, which is responsible for specific mRNA codon recognition, and the 3' end, to which the tRNAs corresponding amino acid is attached (by aminoacyl-tRNA synthetases). tRNAs cope with the degeneracy of the genetic code in two manners: having more than one tRNA (with a specific anti-codon) for a particular amino acid; and 'wobble' base-pairing, i.e. permitting non-standard base-pairing at the 3rd anti-codon position.
Source: RNAcentral